GAUGAACGCUAGCUACAGGCUUAACACAUGCAAGUCGCGGGGCAGCAUGGGGGUUGCUUGCAAUCCCCGAUGGCGACCGGCGCACGGGUGAGUAACGCGUAUCCAACCUGCCCUUCACCACGGGAUAACCCGGCGAAAGUCGGACUAAUACCGUAUGUUGUCCAUUGACGGCAUCCGAUUUGGACGAGAGGUUUGGCGGUGAAGGAUGGGGAUGCGUCCGAUUAGCUGGACGGCGGGGGGCCGGCCCACCGUGGCGACGAUCGGUAGGGGUUCUGAGAGGAAGGUCACACACACUGGAACUGAGACACGGUCCAGACUCCUACGGGAGGAAGCAGUGAGGAAUAUUGGUCAAUGGGCGUAAGCCUGAACCAGCCAAGUAGCGUGCAGGAUGACGGCCCUAUGGGUUGUAAACUGCUUUUAUGCGGGGAUAAAGUGGACCACGUGUGGGUUUUUGCAGGUACCGCAUGAAUAAGGACCGGCUAAUUCCGUG
This 490-nucleotide ribosomal RNA is filed under the name uncultured bacterium. Its description in RNAcentral is "partial 16S ribosomal RNA". It matches the Rfam family "Bacterial small subunit ribosomal RNA", at positions 28 to 507 of the family's 1533-position model. The record is from RNAcentral.